RNAcentral lists this long non-coding RNA (842 nucleotides) under Helianthus annuus (common sunflower). Lineage: Eukaryota; Viridiplantae; Streptophyta; Magnoliopsida; Asterales; Asteraceae. The record is from RNAcentral.
AUGAUUUAUUUUAUGUAUAAGUAUUAUAAAGUUAUUUUACUUUAUGAUAAAAGUUAUAUGUAUGUAAUGUUCAUUUUUAAUUUAUAAUAGCUGUAUAAAUAAAAUUAUAUAAUAAUAGUAAAAAAAAUAUAUUUAGAAAUCACAACAUAUAUCUUUUACCAAACUAAUGGGCAUAUCCGAUACCCGCGGGUAUACCUGAUACCUGACGGGUAUUGGGUCAGGUAUGAGACACGAUUUUCUAACCGGGUAUGGGUAUGGGAUUACCAAUACCCGACUCGUUGUACUAGAUCACGGUCCCAUAGCUGUGAGUACUCACCUCCACCCAAGAUAAGGCAUCAAUCUAGGUCGGUUUUACCUCGAGGAAAAAAGUAUAGUAGAAAAAGGUCGUACUCACGCUCACUAGUAAGAACGCGUUCUCCACCUUACAAUGGUGGGUCUAUGAGUCUUAGUCGAAGUCUCGUUGGGGACAGUUUUCCUCCACCCGAUAAUAAUGGGUCAAGGAGACCAAGCCAAAGCCUUGAAAGAGAGAAACCGUCACCAACAUGAAGCCUAAUCCAAAGUUCAAGUCGAAGCAGGAGCAAAAGCCCUAAUCCCUGUGAGUAUGCGAGAGCCAAACCAAAGCGAGAUGCUUUACUUAAACCUUGAGUCGGUGUCAACAACCAGAGUUAUAUGGGUGUGGAAAUGCGGUUGUGUUUUAGAAUUUCUGACAUGAUUUCACUUUGUUCAUGUGUUGGUUGUAGACGUACGUAUUCGUGUUAGUUAACACUUUUUAGUGUUUAGUAUUUUUUUGAUUCGACUGCUGACUGCUAAUGGUGUUGAUCUUGAACUGAUAUGAUUGAUGU